GACGAACGCUGGCGGCGUGCCUAAUACAUGCAAGUGGGACGCAAGGAAACACACUGUGCUUGCACACCGUGUUUUCUUGAGUCGCGAACGGGUGAGUAACGCGUAGGUAACCUGCCUAUUAGCGGGGGAUAACUAUUGGAAACGAUAGCUAAUACCGCAUAAUAUUAAUUAUUGCAUGAUAAUUGAUUGAAAGAUGCAAGCGCAUCACUAGUAGAUGGACCUGCGUUGUAUUAGCUAGUUGGUAAGGUAAGAGCUUACCAAGGCGACGAUACAUAGCCGACCUUAGAGGGUGAUCGGCCACACUGGGAAUGAGACACGGCCCAGAAUCCUACGGGAGGCAGCAGUAGGGAAUCUUUGGGAAUGGAAGAAAGUCGGACCGAGCAACGCCGCGUGAAUGAAGAAGGUUUUCGGAUCGUAAAGCUCUGUUGUAAGUCAAGAACGUGUGUGAGAGUGGAAAGUUCACACAGUGACGGUAGCUGACCAGAAAGGGACGGCUAACUACGUG
Molecule: ribosomal RNA, 505 nt
Filed under: uncultured bacterium
Lineage: Bacteria
Description: partial 16S ribosomal RNA
Rfam family: Bacterial small subunit ribosomal RNA
Source: RNAcentral